This 1372-nucleotide ribosomal RNA is filed under the name uncultured bacterium. Its description in RNAcentral is "bacterial SSU rRNA". It matches the Rfam family "Bacterial small subunit ribosomal RNA". The record is from RNAcentral.
UUAGAGUUUGAUCCUGGCUCAGAACGAACGCUGGCGGCGUGGAUAAGACAUGCAAGUCGAACGAGAGAAUUGCUAGCUUGCUAAUAAUUCUCUAGUGGCGCACGGGUGAGUAACACGUGAGUAACCUGCCCCCGAGAGCGGGAUAGCCCUGGGAAACUGGGAUUAAUACCGCAUAGUAUCGAAAGAUUAAAGCAGCAAUGCGCUUGGGGAUGGGCUCGCGGCCUAUUAGUUAGUUGGUGAGGUAACGGCUCACCAAGGCGAUGACGGGUAGCCGGUCUGAGAGGAUGUCCGGCCACACUGGAACUGAGACACGGUCCAGACACCUACGGGUGGCAGCAGUCGAGAAUCAUUCACAAUGGGGGAAACCCUGAUGGUGUGACGCCGCGUGGGGGAAUGAAGGUCUUCGGAUUGUAAACCCCUGUCAUGUGGGAGCAAAUUAAAAAGAUAGUACCACAAGAGGAAGAGACGGCUAACUCUGUGCCAGCAGCCGCGGUAAUACAGAGGCCUCAAGCGUUGUUCGGAAUCACUGGGCGUAAAGCGUGCGUAGGCUGUUUCGUAAGUCGUGUGUGAAAGGCGCGGGCUCAACCCGCGGACGGCACAUGAUACUGCAAGACUAGAGUAAUGGAGGGGGAACCGGAAUUCUCGGUGUAGCAGUGAAAUGCGUAGAUAUCGAGAGGAACACUCGUGGCGAAGGCGGGUUCCUGGACAUUAACUGACGCUGAGGCACGAAGGCCAGGGGAGCGAAAGGGAUUAGAUACCCCUGUAGUCCUGGCAGUAAACGGUGCACGCUUGGUGUGCGGGGAAUCGACCCCCUGCGUGCCGGAGCUAACGCGUUAAGCGUGCCGCCUGGGGAGUACGGUCGCAAGAUUAAAACUCAAAGAAAUUGACGGGGACCCGCACAAGCGGUGGAGUAUGUGGCUUAAUUCGAUGCAACGCGAAGAACCUUACCUGGGCUUGACAUGUAAUGAACAACAUGUGAAAGCAUGCGACUCUUCGGAGGCGUUACACAGGUGCUGCAUGGCCGUCGUCAGCUCGUGUCGUGAGAUGUUUGGUUAAGUCCAGCAACGAGCGCAACCCCUGUUGCCAGUUACCAGCACGUGAAGGUGGGGACUCUGGCGAGACUGCCCAGAUCAACUGGGAGGAAGGUGGGGACGACGUCAGGUCAGUAUGGCCCUUAUGCCCAGGGCUGCACACGUACUACAAUGCCCAGUACAGAGGGGGCCGAAGCCGCGAGGCGGAGGAAAUCCUGAAAACUGGGCCCAGUUCGGACUGUAGGCUGCAACCCGCCUACACGAAGCCGGAAUCGCUAGUAAUGGCGCAUCAGCUACGGCGCCGUGAAUACGUUCCCGGGUCUUGCACUCACCGCCCGUCA